CAGGUACGACGGUAACAAGACCUGCAGCUGCGACUCGCACCUUGUAUGCCUCCGGUUCAAAAAAGCUGAUCGGAGCCUACGAAAACAAAUCGAAACAGAAAACCAAUUAUUGUACAUGAAUCAGACGUUACUGAGGUGAUGGUAAAAUGCUUGUGGAACAUGUAUGAAAGCGUAUUGUUACAUCUUAUCGUCAAAAGCGUCGAUUAAUGAUGAAAAGUAUGAAUGGGGCGGCUUACCUUCACUGAGGAUUGGUUACAUGGAGGAAGAAGCA
Long non-coding RNA from Neodiprion virginianus, 271 nucleotides. RefSeq lists it as uncharacterized. Lineage: Eukaryota; Metazoa; Arthropoda; Insecta; Hymenoptera; Diprionidae. The record is from RefSeq and is a predicted model, not a curated record. The transcript has 2 exons.